Anguilla rostrata (American eel) is the source of this 1004-nucleotide long non-coding RNA. RefSeq lists it as uncharacterized. The transcript is spliced from 3 exons. Lineage: Eukaryota; Metazoa; Chordata; Actinopteri; Anguilliformes; Anguillidae. The record is from RefSeq and is a predicted model, not a curated record.
AAAUGACAUAAGAUGUAUUUCAAAGCAAUGCUACCCAAUAUUUCCUCAAUUCUUUCAAGUCACUUGGCCCUGUGUACAGGAAACUUAACAGCUCAUUUCUCGCACGGGCCUGCAUUUUGACUAGUCAGAAUGGUUAUUGAAGAUAUCUAUAAAUGUAUUCCCACUAGUCAGAAUGUUAAUUGAAGAUAUCUCCAAAAUAAGAUCGGUCUCGUUUCAAGAUAUCCAAAACUUAUUUGUAGAUAUCUUAAAAUGACUUUUAACUAGUCGAGAUAUCUCCACUUUAGUUUUUACUAGUCAUAACUCAAGUUCAAGAUGUCUACAAUUGUAUUUUGACUAGUAAUAUCUUAGGUUCAGAUAUCAAAAAAGAUCAUUUAGAUACAUUCAUUAACAAGGAAUUAAAGAUAUAUAAAUAAUCUUUUUUCAGUCUGGAUAUCACGUUUUAGAUUUAGAUUCAGAUAUCUGUAAUAUGAAUCCGGACAGGCUAUUAGAUGUUAAAAGGGCUUGCCAAUGUGCCACUCCUUCUGCCCCUAUUCCCAAGUUACAAGGAAAAAUCUAAGUUUCUAUUCACAGGAAAAAAUUUUUUUUUAAGUUUCUAUUCCUCAGAAGUGACCUGACGCCAGGUAUUUGAACGCGGUUACGCCUCUCAGGCUCAUUGUAUAUAAAACGGUCGCAGGUAGGCUACGUUACCCAUUGACUGCCAGCACCAUACAGGAAACAAUGAAACCGCUAGUCACUCUCGCCCUUGCGUGCGCGCUCUUCUCUGGAGUAUACGCACUGAAUUGUCACGAGUGUAUACCCACUGGCACUGGACCAUGCUCGGAUACUACAAAAACAUGUCCAGCGAGCCAAACCAACUGCGGCAGUGCCACAGCAGCAGUCUACGUAGGUGAGAUAUAACGAUUUAUGAUUUACUGAGUGCUACAAUACAGCUGGAGCAAGGUAGGUAAGUGAAAUUCUGUAAGUGGCACAUGAGUCAUCAGCUGUGGUCACCCAUGGGUGGGGCG